This 255-nucleotide unclassified non-coding RNA is filed under the name air metagenome. Its description in RNAcentral is "partial contains small subunit ribosomal RNA, internal transcribed spacer 1, and 5.8S ribosomal RNA". The stretch from base 1 to 46 matches the Rfam family "Eukaryotic small subunit ribosomal RNA", at positions 1786 to 1831 of the family's 1831-position model. The record is from RNAcentral.
AAGUCGUAACAAGGUCUCCGUAGGUGAACCUGCGGAGGGAUCAUUAACGAGUACGGGUCCCCGAGAGGGGGCCCCAACUCCCACCCUUUGUCGUCGAACAAUCGUUGCCUCGGCGGGGCCAGCGGCCCCCGGGCCCGGGCCCCAGCGGCCCACCCGCCGGCGGACAAACACAACCCUGCUUCCAACCAUGCGGUCUGAGCGGAUUUUAAUCAAAAUAAUAAAUCAAAACUUUCAACAACGGAUCUCUUGGUUCUG